GAUGAAGAACGUAGCGAAAUGCGAUAAGUAAUGUGAAUUGCAGAAUUCAGUGAAUCAUCGAAUCUUUGAACGCACAUUGCGCCCUCUGGUAUUCCGGGGGGAAUGCCUGUUCGAGCGUCAUUAUAACCACUCAAGCUCUAGCUUGGUAUUGGGGUUCGCGGUUUCGCGGCCCCUAAAAUCAGUGGCGGUGCCUGUCGGCUCUACGCGUAGUAAUACUCCUCGCGAUUGAGUCCGGUAGGUUUACUUGCCAGCAACCCCUAAUUUUUUUAAGGUUGACCUCGGAUCAGGUAGGGAUACCCGCUGAACUUAAGCAUAUCAAUAAGCGGAGGA
This 330-nucleotide unclassified non-coding RNA is filed under the name soil metagenome. Its description in RNAcentral is "partial contains 5.8S ribosomal RNA, internal transcribed spacer 2, and large subunit ribosomal RNA". The stretch from base 1 to 120 matches the Rfam family "5.8S ribosomal RNA", at positions 35 to 154 of the family's 154-position model. The record is from RNAcentral.